UUGUCGGGUAAGUUCCGACCUGCACGAAUGGCGUAAUGAUGGCCAGGCUGUCUCCACCCGAGACUCAGUGAAAUUGAACUCGCUGUGAAGAUGCAGUGUACCCGCGGCAAGACGGAAAGACCCCGUGAACCUUUACUAUAGCUUGACACUGAACAUUGAGCCUUGAUGUGUAGGAUAGGUGGGAGGCUUUGAAGCGUGGACGCCAGUCUGCGUGGAGCCAACCUUGAAAUACCACCCUUUAAUGUUUGAUGUUCUAACGUUGGCCCCUGACCGGGGUUGCGGACAGUGUCUGGUGGGUAGUUUGACUGGGGCGGUCUCCUCCCAAAGCGUAACGGAGGAGCACGAAGGUUAGCUAAUCCUGGUCGGACAUCAGGAGGUUAGUGCAAUGGCAUAAGCUAGCUUGACUGCGAGCGUGACGGCGCGAGCAGGUGCGAAAGCAGGUCAUAGUGAUCCGGUGGUUCUGAAUGGAAGGGCCAUCGCUCAACGGAUAAAAGGUACUCCGGGGAUAACAGGCUGAUACCGCCCAAGAGUUCAUAUCGACGGCGGUGUUUGGCACCUCGAUGUCGGCUCAUCACAUCCUGGGGCUGAAGUAGGUCCCAAGGGUAUGGCUGUUCGCCAUUUAAAGUGGUACGCGAGCUGGGUUUAGAACGUCGUGAGACAGUUCGGUCCCUAUCUGCCGUGGGCGCUGGAGAAUUGAGGGGGGCUGCUCCUAGUACGAGAGGACCGGAGUGGACGCAUCACUGGUGUUCGGGUUGUCAUGCCAAUGGCACUGCCCGGUAGCUAAAUGCGGAAGAGAUAAGUGCUGAAAGCAUCUAAGCACGAAACUUGCCCCGAGAUGAGUUCUCCCUGAGACUUUAAGUCUCCUGAAGGAACGUUAAAGACGAUGACGUUGAUAGGCCGGGUGUGUAAGCGCAGCGAUGCGUUGAGCUAACCGGUACUAAUGAACCGUGAGGCUUAACCUU
RNAcentral lists this ribosomal RNA (962 nucleotides) under Klebsiella pneumoniae. RNAcentral describes it as "bacterial LSU rRNA". It matches the Rfam family "Bacterial large subunit ribosomal RNA", at positions 1969 to 2925 of the family's 2925-position model. The record is from RNAcentral. Lineage: Bacteria; Pseudomonadati; Pseudomonadota; Gammaproteobacteria; Enterobacterales; Enterobacteriaceae.